RNAcentral lists this ribosomal RNA (493 nucleotides) under uncultured bacterium. RNAcentral's name for it is "bacterial SSU rRNA". It matches the Rfam family "Bacterial small subunit ribosomal RNA", at positions 8 to 518 of the family's 1533-position model. The record is from RNAcentral.
AGAGUUUGAUCAUGGCUCAGGACGAACGCUGGCGGCGUGCUUCAUACAUGCAAGUCGAACGAGAAUCUCUGGCUUGCCAGAGAGGAAAGUGGCGGACGGGUGAGUAAAAUGUAGAGAAUCUGCCCUUAAGAUGGGGGACAACAGUUGGAAACGACUGCUAAUACCCAAUAUGCGCGUAGCUGAAAUGCUAUUCGUGAAAACUCCGGUGCUUAAGGAUGAGUCUGCAUCUGAUUAGCUAGUUGGGGGUGUAAUGGACCACCAAGGCGACGAUCAGUAGCUGGUUUGAGAGGAUGAUCAGCCACAAUGGGACUGAGACACGGCCCAUACUCCUACGGGAGGCAGCAGUAGGGAAUUUUGCGCAAGUGGGGAAACCCUGACGCAAGCAACGCCGCGUGAUUGAAGAAGCCCUUCGGGGUGUAAAGAUCUGUCAGUGGGGACGAAACUUGACGGUACCCACAGAGGAAGCAUCGGCUAACUCCGUGCCAGCCGCAGC